RNAcentral lists this ribosomal RNA (371 nucleotides) under uncultured organism. RNAcentral describes it as "bacterial SSU rRNA". It matches the Rfam family "Bacterial small subunit ribosomal RNA", at positions 526 to 896 of the family's 1533-position model. The record is from RNAcentral.
CGGAGUGUGCGAGCGUUACUCGGAAUCACUGGGCAUAAAGCGCGCGUAGCGGGCUGUCAAGUCGGUUGUGAAAUCCCUCAGCUCAACUGAGGAACUGCAUCCGAUACUGUCGGCCUCGAGGACGAGAGGGGAGAGUGGAACUUCUGGUGGAGCGGUGAAAUGCGUAGAUAUCAGAAGGAACGCCGGUGGCGAAAGCGACUCUCUGGCUCGUAUCUGACGCUGAGGCGCGAAAGCUUGGGUAGCAAACGGGAUUAGAUACCCCGGUAGUCCAAGCCGUAAACGAUGAGCACUAGGGAGAGGAGACCCCGAUGUCUUCUCUCCUGGAGCAAAUGUAUUAAGUGCUCCGCCUGGGGAGUACAGUCGCAAGGCCG